AUCUAAUUUAAAUUAAAA
This 18-nucleotide small RNA is filed under the name Arabidopsis thaliana (thale cress). Its description in RNAcentral is "ATSL062850". Lineage: Eukaryota; Viridiplantae; Streptophyta; Magnoliopsida; Brassicales; Brassicaceae. The record is from RNAcentral.